RNAcentral lists this ribosomal RNA (253 nucleotides) under uncultured Vampirovibrio sp. Its description in RNAcentral is "partial 16S ribosomal RNA". It matches the Rfam family "Bacterial small subunit ribosomal RNA", at positions 524 to 776 of the family's 1533-position model. Lineage: Bacteria; Bacillati; Candidatus Melainabacteria; Vampirovibriophyceae; Vampirovibrionales; Vampirovibrionaceae. The record is from RNAcentral.
GACGUAGGAUGCAAGCGUUGUCCGGAAUUAUUGGGCGUAAAGAGUUCGUAGGCGGUUCAUUAAGUCUGAUGUUAAAUACUGGUGCUCAACGCCAGCAUGGCAUUGGAAACUGGUGAGCUAGAGUGUGGUAGAGGUUACGGGAAUUCCUGGUGUAGCGGUGAAAUGCGUAGAUAUCAGGAGGAACACCGGUGGCGAAAGCGCGUAACUGGGCCAUAACUGACGCUGAGGAACGAAAGCCAGGGUAGCAAAAGGG